Molecule: unclassified non-coding RNA, 417 nt
Filed under: Bombus terrestris (buff-tailed bumblebee)
Lineage: Eukaryota; Metazoa; Arthropoda; Insecta; Hymenoptera; Apidae
Description: misc RNA ENSBTSG00005034411.1
Source: RNAcentral
UUUUAUUCAGAAAGAUUACACGAAAGUGUUACAUUUAAAUUAAUUGCAAUAUUACCAUAAAAAUGGACGUUAUACGAUUCCAUACGUUAUUACAUUACGUAAUAUAGCUACUUGUGUACGUCACUUAUAAAUUGCACUGCUUAUUUUAGAAUGAUUUCACUUCGUAAACAGUGCUUUAUCUCCAGCUCUCUUCAUAUGAAACACCGCAAAAUAUAUACAGUAUGGGAUUCAAGACACUAAUAAAAAUCAAAAAUAAAAUAUUAAUGGAAACAGUAAAAAGUUUGAAUUCCACUAACAGACACAUAUUGGUUUCGAGUGGAAAGAAGAUACGAUUCUAGUUUAGACCGAUUUCGACGAGAGUGUCUCAGUUACAGGAUCAUCCCCUUGUUAAACUUCCACUUUGGCUAAUUCUCCCCA